RNAcentral lists this ribosomal RNA (207 nucleotides) under uncultured bacterium. RNAcentral's name for it is "partial 16S ribosomal RNA". It matches the Rfam family "Bacterial small subunit ribosomal RNA", at positions 568 to 774 of the family's 1533-position model. The record is from RNAcentral.
CACGUAGGCGGCAUGGUAAGUCAUGGGUGAAAGCCCUCGGCUCAACCGAGGAACUGCCUUUGAAACUGCCUUGCUUGAGUCCGGGAGGGGGGAGCGGAAUUCCCAGUGUAGCGGUGAAAUGCGUAGAUACUGGGAGGAACACCGGUGGCGAAGGCGGCUCCCUGGACCGGUACUGACGCUGAGGUGCGAAAGCGUGGGUAGCAAACA